Molecule: long non-coding RNA, 1306 nt
Organism: Olea europaea var. sylvestris
Lineage: Eukaryota; Viridiplantae; Streptophyta; Magnoliopsida; Lamiales; Oleaceae
Exons: 2
Source: RefSeq, a predicted model, not a curated record
CUCGUCCACAAUUUAAGUGGACUUUUGUCCACUGUUGAGGAGAGAUACCAAGAUAUUUAAGUUGCUUCCCUCAUUGGCUCUCGGUUGCAUGAUUCUUUGUGGUUCAACUUUGUGCCUCUUGCUCUAGCAUUAUAAAAACCUUUUGCUAGUUUUCUGAAACAAAAACUACUCAAUCUUCUGAAAGAGUGGGGAGCUGGACAUUAAACCAUUAAAGACUUGAUAUUUACUUCCCUUGCAUUCAAUUAAGUGAAUUUCUUAAGAGUCUGCUGUUUAUUUUUAUAUAUUUUUAAAUUUUUUUCCCUUUUACAAUGAGUUGUAGCAUCUGCUCUGUGCUAUUACUUGAUCAAAUAAGAUUCUAGUCCCUGCCUUGGUUUCCUUGUAUAUGCUGCCAGCUGCUUCAACCUGUUUUCUCGACGUUGCUAUCACAAAUUUUCCUUGGAAGCCACAUUUAUUUGGGAGGGUCGGGAGUUGUGAGUAUUGUGACAGUGAAAUUCUUGAAGGUGUAACUCCACAGUUUUCAUUGAAAUUCUACUUGUCAGGUAAGCAAUGGCUUGUCUUAACUUGUUAUUGAAGAAAUUGAAAAUGUUUGAAGCCUUGUCGGCUUAUAUAAUUGUGGUCUGGUCGGCUUAUAUGAUUGAUUAUUAGAGGAUCAACAAUUGCACAGGCGCACAUAAUAACUAUAUUGAAAACUCUAACUGUGUGAUGAUUUGAGAUAUUUUGUAAUUAUUUUUUAGUUUACUCAUUGGGCUUCAGAUAUAGACUCAUACACCAUGCCUCCUAAAUAUGAGUCUGGUGCUCAAAAGAGAAAAAAGAAACGAAAUGAAAUUUCAUUAAUUCAAAGUCAAGUUGGGGAUAUUGACAAGUACUUUAAAAGCAAAAAUGUGAAUACGUUGAAUGAGUAUAAAGUAGAGAUUCAACCUGCAUGUGUUAACGAAGUAGAUGAUAAAGAUGAAGAAGUGAGUGAACCUGCCUACGUUAAUGUAGUAGAUGAUAAGGAAGAAGAGGUGAUGAAACCUGCAUGUGUUAAUGAAGUAGAUGUCAAGGAAGAAGAGAGUUGAUUUUCUCUAAAUUUGGAUGAUCCCGGGAAUUGGAAAAUCAUUGAUCAAAGAACAAGGGAUUACUUAGUUGAAAGGAGUCCAAAAAGAGUUGAUGACGUCUCGUUUCCGAAAGAUUGUACAAAUAGGCAUUUUGAUUUUUCACAAUAUAAGUGAUUGCUACGAAAUGGGCAAACAAUUGAUAGAAGAUGGCUAGUAUAUUCAAUAUCUAUGGACAUGAUCUUUUGCUUUUGUUGCAAGUUGUUUAAAAC